Peromyscus californicus insignis is the source of this 605-nucleotide long non-coding RNA. RefSeq lists it as uncharacterized. Lineage: Eukaryota; Metazoa; Chordata; Mammalia; Rodentia; Cricetidae. The record is from RefSeq and is a predicted model, not a curated record. The transcript is spliced from 2 exons.
GAGAAAGGAGGAGCGCCACCGCCACGCUCCCUCCCGCGGAGGAAGCUCCGCGCCCUGCGCUCGGGGUCCCCGCACCGCGCUGGGGACCGACGUUCCGUGCCACCCCGCUUUGACAGACAGGACGCAACUUCAUAUCUCAGACAAACUGUCGUCAUAGAACUUUAAGGUGUGCUGUGCUGAAAACACACACGUCAACUGCUUUUACCACCUACAAGCACUUUAUUGACACUGCAGCAUUUCAAGUAUGCACCUGCUGUUCUUCCCUUAAAACUCCUGGAAAAGAGGGCUGGUGUAGUGGGUGGCUGUUCUUGCCAGGCCCUGAAGCACCGCCCCUAGUGAGGUAGCAGGUAACUGUUACACCUGCCUAUGACCUUCAAGUACAUGCCCCUGGGGUAUGGCCACUCGGGACCCUAAAGACCUGGGAUGUGCGUACAUUGCUCUCUCUUCACUACCUUGUAGUUUUGGAGGCUGGGACGGACUAGGACAGAUCUCGCCAGAGAACAGCAUUGGACUGUGCCUCACCCUCCCAGGAUCCUGCGACAAAUUCCUUUAUUCUGUCUUGUGAGUUAACCCCCACAAAUAAAUUCCUUUGCUCAUUAAGCAGA